RNAcentral lists this non-coding RNA (80 nucleotides) under human gut metagenome. RNAcentral's name for it is "Cyclic di-GMP-I riboswitch". It matches the Rfam family "c-di-GMP-I riboswitch aptamer", at positions 7 to 84 of the family's 87-position model. Rfam says of the family: GEMM was predicted in a large-scale screen for bacterial structured RNA regulatory elements. Genes associated with GEMM are involved in a diverse array of functions, including chemotaxis regulation, signal transduction, secretion and chitin. The record is from RNAcentral.
AUAGGGUAAACCGGCUGAAAAGCCGGGACACAAAGCCAAAUGGGUCUAAUGCCGCAAUGCGGCGAUGACAGCCGGUUGCU